Juglans microcarpa x Juglans regia is the source of this 789-nucleotide long non-coding RNA. RefSeq lists it as uncharacterized. The record is from RefSeq and is a predicted model, not a curated record. Lineage: Eukaryota; Viridiplantae; Streptophyta; Magnoliopsida; Fagales; Juglandaceae. The transcript has 2 exons.
CAGCUUGUAUGGAGAAGGUCUCUUCCAUACAUUUUCUGACUUUAAAGACCCUUCUGUCUGUUAAAAGAGAACAGCACACUCAUGGGUGAUAACCAUCUCACUUUGGACCCUUGCACGUAUAUAAGGGAAAAUGACUUCUUAACUUAUUCUUUAUGGAGCACGUUAUUAGUUUGGUGAUCUAUAUUAGCUGUUGACCAAAAUAGAGCUUCCCCAGUAGAAAGAAUUUCUUAAUGCCAAAUCAACUUCAGACUAGAAGGGUUAAGAGUAAAGCAGGAAAUGGAGAUGAGUAAAGAGGGAAAAAAAUUGCCCAUUGGAUCAAGAGUCCGUCAUCUUCUAUCAGGACUUAAGAGGGAAAGGAAACAACUUUGAAAGGGUGUUGAACUGCACAGAAAACUACAAACAUUAAUUCUCGAUAGCCUUAAAAAAAUUUGAUUUGAUCUUCGUAGACAUUAACGCUACGUUUAGAUAUUGAGGUGAUUUCAGAUCACCUCACUAACCAAACAUAGCUUAAAACUCUUCUAUAUAAAGAUUUUGAAUAAUUCUAUUUGAAGGUCUUUACACCAUAACAUCCACCUGGCAUAAUUUGAUUUAUAAUAUAAAUUUUAAAAUUUGAAUCUCACAAAUCAAAUUAUGUCAUGUGAAUGGUAUGUGGUGUAAAAGCCUUCAAAUAACACUACUUGAAGACUUUUUUUUUUUUGGGUGUGCAUUUCUCUUGGCAGUGAAAAUAUACCAUAAAGUCUGUGCUUUCAGAACCUUGAUAUGAGUAAUGAUGCAAAUGCUUUUCAAGAG